This 329-nucleotide ribosomal RNA is filed under the name uncultured eukaryote. RNAcentral describes it as "partial 18S ribosomal RNA". It matches the Rfam family "Eukaryotic small subunit ribosomal RNA", at positions 1470 to 1796 of the family's 1831-position model. The record is from RNAcentral.
CCCUUAGAUGUUCUGGGCCGCGCGCGCGCUACACUGAUACAUUCAACGAGUCUAAAACCUGCUCUGAUAGGGGUGGGUAAUCUUUUGAAUGUGCAUCGUGAUUGGGAUAGAUGAUUGCAAUUUUUCAUCUUCAACGAGGAAUGCCUAGUAAACGCAAGUCAUCAGCUUGCAUUGAUUACGUCCCUGCCCUUUGUACACACCGCCCGUCGCUCCUACCGAUUGAAUGAUCCGAUGAAUAUCAUGGAUUGAGGAUGUAAGCAGGUUCGCCUGUCUUCAUCUUCGAGAAGUGAAGUAAAUCUUAUCAUUUAGAGGAAGGAGAAGUCGUAACA